Erigeron canadensis is the source of this 921-nucleotide long non-coding RNA. RefSeq lists it as uncharacterized. Lineage: Eukaryota; Viridiplantae; Streptophyta; Magnoliopsida; Asterales; Asteraceae. The transcript is spliced from 3 exons. The record is from RefSeq and is a predicted model, not a curated record.
AAGUUUUGCAGUAAUGUCUCUUACAGGCUGUUAUUCUGCAAGCUACUGUUGGUGGGAUACAAGCUGGAGCUUUCAAGAUUAGUGGUAUUGCUGGUACAAUCGAUAAUACUAUACAAAGCAAACCAUAACAUGCCUGGAACUGUUGGAUUGGUGUCAAAAUCUGUGGGUAAACAUGUUUCAUUUUAUUCUGUUAACUAAAAUGGUAGAAAGGAUGGGUUGGGUAACUGUUCAAAAUGACUCAAAAAGUUUGGUUAAAAUACAUAAGAUAAUUUAUUCGUUAUUGGAGGAUAAGUUGUAGACUCGGACUUUAACUGGUAGGUGGACUGGUGCCUUGACAGCUAUAUCAGGCAAGUGUUUAUGACCCGAGUUGAGAUAGAUAUAGAUUUUAGAAUCUUGAUAUUUGUUUUUCUAAUUUCGGUUUGUAAUAAAUUGAUAUUUAGUCUAAAUGUGUCAUGCUUGCUACAAGUUCGACUAAGAAGUCGUAGACUAUGGGGAGCUUUUGUUUUUGUUAUGCAGGUUGAAAUCCAUGAUGAUACGAGCUCUACCUCUGAUGAGUUGAAAGUGAAUGAUAAACAAUGGAAUGUUAACGACACAUGAAGGACUGGGUUGCUGACCAAAGAAAGAUAGCACCAAGCGAUGGAUAGUAUCAUCAAAAGUUCAAUAAUACGAGUUUCAUCGAACCUGGUCCAUUGAAGGCAAUAGCUAAAUCUUAAAGGAGAGCAGGGAAAGCAGCCCAAGCUCUCAACAGGUGCUAUUACUUAUUUAUUUCUUCCGAAGACGAUAGCGAAAAGAAUGCUUUGUGAACAACCCAAACUUAAGGAAGUUACCAGAGAUAGAUUAAAAGACUCAAUAAAUGAAUAUUUAGUCAGCUUGGUUCCAAGACUAGAAUUGGAGCAGAUUAAGUAAGAGAUGCAAGAUAAG